CAGUAGCCGCGGGAACACGUAGGUGGCAAGCGUUGUCCGGAAUUAUUGGGCGUAAAGGGCUCGCAGGCGGUUUCUUAAGUCUGAUGUGAAAGCCCCCGGCCCAACCGGGGAGGGUCAUUGGAAACUGGGAAACUUGAGUGCAGAAGAGGAGAGUGGAAUUCCACGUGUAGCGGUGAAAUGCGUAGAGAUGUGGAGGAACACCAGUGGCGAAGGCGACUCUCUGGUCUGUAACUGACGCUGAGGAGCGAAAGCGUGGGGAGCGAACAGGAUUAGAUACCCGCGUAGUCCCUGUCUCUUAUAC
This 301-nucleotide ribosomal RNA is filed under the name uncultured bacterium. RNAcentral describes it as "partial 16S ribosomal RNA". It matches the Rfam family "Bacterial small subunit ribosomal RNA", at positions 509 to 807 of the family's 1533-position model. The record is from RNAcentral.